UACGUAGGGGGCAAGCGUUGUCCGGAUUUAUUGGGCGUAAAGAGCGUGUAGGCGGUUUGGUAGGUCCGUUGUGAAAACUCGAGGCUCAACCUCGAGACGCCGAUGGAAACCAUCAGACUAGAGUCCGGAAGAGGAGAGUGGAAUUCCUGGUGUAGCGGUGAAAUGCGCAGAUAUCAGGAAGAACACCCGUGGCUAAGGCGGCUCUCUAGUACGUGACUGACGCUGAGACGCGAAAGCGUGGGGAGCGAACAGG
Molecule: ribosomal RNA, 253 nt
Filed under: uncultured bacterium
Lineage: Bacteria
Description: partial 16S ribosomal RNA
Rfam family: Bacterial small subunit ribosomal RNA
Source: RNAcentral